CAGUCGACGGGAAUCUUCGGAUUCUAGUGGCGGACGGGUGAGUAACGCGUAAGAAUCUAACUUCAGGACGGGGACAACAGUUGGAAACGACUGCUAAUACCCGAUGUGCCGCAAGGUGAAACCUAAUUGGCCUGGAGAAGAGCUUGCGUCUGAUUAGCUAGUUGGUGGGGUAAGAGCCUACCAAGGCGACGAUCAGUAGCUGGUCUGAGAGGAUGAGCAGCCACACUGGGACUGAGACACGGCCCAGACUCCUACGGGAGGCAGCAGUGGGGAAUUUUCCGCAAUGGGCGAAAGCCUGACGGAGCAACGCCGCGUGAGGGAGGAAGGUCUUUGGAUUGUAAACCUCUUUUCUCAAGGAAGAAGUUCUGACGGUACUUGAGGAAUCAGCCUCGGCUAACUCCGUGCCAGCAGCCGCGGUAAUACGGGGGAGGCAAGCGUUAUCCGGAAUUAUUGGGCGUAAAGCGUCCGCAGGUGGUCAGCCAAGUCUGCCGUCAAAUCAGGUUGCUUAACGACCUAAAGGCGGUGGAAACUGGCAGACUAGAGAGCAGUAGGGGUAGCAGGAAUUCCCAGUGUAGCGGUGAAAUGCGUAGAGAUUGGGAAGAACAUCGGUGGCGAAAGCGUGCUACUGGGCUGUAUCUGACACUCAGGGACGAAAGCUAGGGGAGCGAAAGGGAUUAGAUACCCCUGUAGUCCUAGCCGUAAACGAUGGAUACUAGGCGUGGCUUGUAUCGACCCGAGCCGUGCCGAAGCUAACGCGUUAAGUAUCCCGCCUGGGGAGUACGCACGCAAGUGUGAAACUCAAAGGAAUUGACGG
This 814-nucleotide ribosomal RNA is filed under the name uncultured bacterium. Its description in RNAcentral is "bacterial SSU rRNA". It matches the Rfam family "Bacterial small subunit ribosomal RNA", at positions 59 to 916 of the family's 1533-position model. The record is from RNAcentral.